UUACCUGCAAGUCGAACGGUGAACACGGAGCUUGCUCUGUGGGAUCAGUGGCGAACGGGUGAGUAACACGUGAGCAACCUGCCCCUGACUCUGGGAUAAGCGCUGGAAACGGCGUCUAAUACUGGAUAUGUGACGUGACCGCAUGGUCUGCGUUUGGAAAGAUUUUUCGGUUGGGGAUGGGCUCGCGGCCUAUCAGCUUGUUGGUGAGGUAAUGGCUCACCAAGGCGUCGACGGGUAGCCGGCCUGAGAGGGUGACCGGCCACACUGGGACUGAGACACGGCCCAGACUCCUACGGGAGGCAGCAGUGGGGAAUAUUGCACAAUGGGCGAAAGCCUGAUGCAGCAACGCCGCGUGAGGGAUGACGGCCUUCGGGUUGUAAACCUCUUUUAGCAGGGAAGAAGCGAAAGUGACGGUACCUGCAGAAAAAGCGCCGGCUAACUACGUGCCAGCAGCCGCGGUAAUACGUAGGGCGCAAGCGUUAUCCGGAAUUAUUGGGCGUAAAGAGCUCGUAGGCGGUUUGUCGCGUCUGCUGUGAAAUCCCGAGGCUCAACCUCGGGCCUGCAGUGGGUACGGGCAGACUAGAGUGCGGUAGGGGAGAUUGGAAUUCCUGGUGUAGCGGUGGAAUGCGCAGAUAUCAGGAGGAACACCGAUGGCGAAGGCAGAUCUCUGGGCCGUAACUGACGCUGAGGAGCGAAAGGGUGGGGAGCAAACAGGCUUAGAUACCCUGGUAGUCCACCCCGUAAACGUUGGGAACUAGUUGUGGGGUCCAUUCCACGGAUUCCGUGACGCAGCUAACGCAUUAAGUUCCCCGCCUGGGGAGUACGGCCGCAAGGCUAAAACUCAAAGGAAUUGACGGGGACCCGCACAAGCGGCGGAGCAUGCGGAUUAAUUCGAUGCAACGCGAAGAACCUUACCAAGGCUUGACAUAUACGAGAACGGGCCAGAAAUGGUCAACUCUUUGGACACUCGUAAACA
This 976-nucleotide ribosomal RNA is filed under the name Microbacterium paraoxydans. Its description in RNAcentral is "bacterial SSU rRNA". It matches the Rfam family "Bacterial small subunit ribosomal RNA", at positions 51 to 1036 of the family's 1533-position model. The record is from RNAcentral. Lineage: Bacteria; Bacillati; Actinomycetota; Actinomycetes; Micrococcales; Microbacteriaceae.